UAGUAAAUUGUUAUUAGUGGC
Non-coding RNA from Caenorhabditis elegans, 21 nucleotides. The record is from Ensembl. NCBI's taxonomy places the organism in Eukaryota, Metazoa, Nematoda, Chromadorea, Rhabditida, Rhabditidae.